This 297-nucleotide long non-coding RNA is filed under the name Struthio camelus australis. RNAcentral describes it as "lncRNA (ENSSCUG00000018782.1)". Lineage: Eukaryota; Metazoa; Chordata; Aves; Struthioniformes; Struthionidae. The record is from RNAcentral.
GGAAAAAAUCUUCUGGGAACUGAUCUAGGAUUUUGGCUGGGAUCUGGACACAGAGCAAAGCCAGAGAUGCAUGACCUUGGAUUUUGUUCUGAGGAGGACACUAAAUAGACACCACAUGCUUCAGUGCUGCUGACUUCUGAUGCCAGCCAAAAAGAUGCACAAGUCUACAACAGGACACAGAGCCAGCCUAGAAAGAUACCUAGUAUUUGUAUGUGAAUCUUCAUGAUGACAAUUAUUCAUAACUUCAUAGCAAGAACAAGUUUAGGGGCAAAAUUUGAUGCUUCUGAAUGCACAUCU